UACGUAGGGACCAAGCGUUGUUCGGAUUUACUGGGCGUAAAGGGCGCGUAGGCGGCAAUUCAAGUCAUCUGUGAAAUCUCCGGGCUUAACUCGGAACGGUCAGAUGAUACUGCUUUGCUAGAGUGCGGGAGAGGAGAGUGGAAUUCCGAGUGUAGAGGUGAAAUUCGUAAGAUAUUCGGAAGAACACCAGUGGCGAAAGGCGGCUCACUGGACCGUUGUUGACGCUGAGGUGCGAAAGCGUGGGGAGCGAACAGG
Molecule: ribosomal RNA, 255 nt
Filed under: uncultured bacterium
Lineage: Bacteria
Description: partial 16S ribosomal RNA
Rfam family: Bacterial small subunit ribosomal RNA
Source: RNAcentral